RNAcentral lists this ribosomal RNA (131 nucleotides) under Homarus gammarus (European lobster). Its description in RNAcentral is "partial 16S ribosomal RNA". Lineage: Eukaryota; Metazoa; Arthropoda; Malacostraca; Decapoda; Nephropidae. The record is from RNAcentral.
UGUUGUAAUCUUGUUCUAUAGAUAAAAUGAUUUUAUUAGUAGAAAAUUUUGUAAAUAGUAAAAUAUUAAAAAAUUAAUAAAUUUUAAAUAUUGGCUGAUGUGGGUUAAGGAACUCGGCAAAUAAAGCUUCU